UUUUUCACAUGGCAACAACAAAGUGCCGAGCAAAAGGGGGAAAGCCCCUUAUAAAACCAUCAGAUCUCAUGAGAACUCACUCACUAUCACAAGAGCAGCAUGAGGGUAACCGCCCCCAUGAUUAAAUUACCUCCCACCGCGUCCCUCCCACGACACGUGGGGAUUAUGGGAACUACAAUUCAAGAUGAGAUUUGGGUGGGGACACAGCCAAACCACAUCACCAAGCCAGAAGGAAGACAGUGCACACCACAGAUGUGGCCUGGAACUAUGAGCCAGGAAAUGUCAUCAAAUAAAGUAACAAAAUAAUCCAUUUAACACAAACUGAACACCAAACAGCAGUCAUCCAUUCACUACACAAAUGUUAAUUGAGCACACCCUCUGUCUUAGGCCUGUGCUAUGCCCUGGGCACACAUGCAGCUGGAGAAACACUGGACAGUCAACAAGGAGCAUGAGAGCACAGGUGUCCACGGGAGAGCCCAGAGGAGGCGAAGAAAGCCGUGGUCUGAAAGAUCAGGGUCCCUUAACCAGGGACACUGACAGGCUGGACAGACAGGUGUCCUCAUGCAGAUCUGGACCCCAAAGGGAAACAGAGCAAGGCAACUUGGGGAUGUUGAGAGAAGUGAAUGGCCAUGGAGUUGAUGGACCAAGUGAGAGGGACCAAGCCUGUGAAAUAUGCAGGGACCAGCCUGGAGGGCUCCCAGGCAUGCUCAGGGGCUAGCAAUGUGUCCCAGGGGCUCUGGGAAGCCACUGGAGGUUUGUGAGCUCUGAGCCAACUGCAUCAGCACAGGUCAGCACAGGGGUGACAGACUGAGGCCACGGAUUCGGAACCGGAUCUGAACCUCAGUUCUAUCACUUCUUAGCUUAUAUCCUUGGGCAAAUUUCUCAAUGUCUUUAUGCUUCAAUUUCCUCGUCUCUAAAAGGGGAGUUUCAUUAUCUCACAGGGUUUCAAUAAGGAAUAAAUGACUUAAACGUACAUAAAAGGCUUAGCGGCCAGGCGCGGUGGCUCACACCUGUAAUCCCAGCACUUUGGGAGGCCAAGGCGGGUGGAUCAGCUGAGGUCAGGAGUUUGAGACCAGCCUGGCCAACAUGGUGAAACCCCGUCUCUACUAAAAAUACACAAAUUAGCCAGGCAUGGUGGCGCACGCUUGUAAUCCCAGCUGCUCGGAAGGCUGAGGCAGUAGAAUCACUUGAACCCGGGAGGCGGAGGUUGCAGUGAGCCAAGAUCGUGCCAUUGCACUCCAGCCUGGGCAACACAGUGAGACUCUAUCUCAAAAAAAAAAAAAAAAAAAGGCUUAGCAUAGUGUUUGGAACAUAAAUGCGUAAUAAAUAUUAGCAACUAUUAUUACUACUGUAACAGGGCAAAUAUUAAUGUGGGGUUGACACAGCCUUUGCCCCUCCCUCCCACUGCCUAUCAAUGAGAAUUCUACCAGCCCGAUUUCCCCUCUUCUUCCUUAUUUCAGCAGAAGAUUCUUGCUUGCUGGGAUCAGAGCUAACUAAGUCAUCUAGUCUGACCUAGGAGGUGUUGGGGGCUGGACCUUGGUGUGGUGAUGUGGAAGGGAGGCUCUUCAGGGGGUGCAAAACCUGCCUAUCCUGAAAAAGAGCAGAUACUGAGUUCUCCAGAGAAGGAGUAUCCAAGCUUUUUUUAAAUGGAAAAAAAAAUGGUCUGCUUUGGUGAGGGAAGGAGGAGAGAAAAGCAAUAAGGAGCUCAGAUGGGGGAGAAGUCGGGGACAUUUGUGUCAGGCUGUGGAGCAGCUGGGGGUGAAAGAAAAGUGGUUGGGAGGACAGAGGGAAUUCAAUUGAGAGCUACAUUUGGACUCCUUUUAAGUUUUUUUUCUAAAGAUGUAAGAAUAAAAUUCCCUUGUAAUUAGUCUGGCUUUUGCCCUGUGUUUCUUUAAAGUUGACUCUAUGCAGAGGCUGAGCCAUACAGACUCCUCCUCCAGGAUUUAGAAGAGUUAUAGUAUUAAUGUUGAAAAUGGGUAUAUGAAUACCUACCCUCCAGGGCUAUUCUUAGGAUUAGAUGUGGUAAUGCAGGUUGUAUCCACCAGCUUUCGAUAGAUUAUGCUGCAAACAACCCUCAAAUCAUAGUGGCUUACAACAACAAAGGUUUAUGUCCUGCUCCCGUUCCAUGUUCACUGUGGCUUGGCUGCCUGUCUGUACUCUGGGAACCAGACAGAGGAACCCGCCCCUAUCUGCGCCAGGCUGGGCUGGUGUGGAGGGAAGAAAGGCAGAACUGCAGUGGCUCUUGGAGCUUCUGCUUAGAAGCCUGUCACUUCCAAUUCCAUUCCAUUGGCCAAACAAGUCACACAUGUCGUCAACAGGGUGGGGAGCAUGAUGGCCCCACUGGGAAGGGCAGCAAAGACUUGGAACAAGAACACAAUCUGUCACAGAUAUGAAGUGCUUAGGACAGCCCCUGGCACGUGGAAAGCCCUCAAUAAAUGAUUGCAAUCAUUCGUAUCCAUCUGCAAAAUGGGAAACAUAACAGUAUCAGUCUCACAGGGAGUUUGAGGGUGAAGGGAGGAGAUAGGCAGGAAUCCCUUAGCACAGGGUCUGGCACCUUGGAAGCUGCUCAACAAAAAGCAGCUAUUGGCACGUGCUAGGUGCUGGGGAUAGAGCAACGAACACGUCUUACCUCUGUCCAGCUUAUGCUCCAAAGCAGGAAACAGUGAGAAUCAAGAGGAAGACAUAAAACAGCUCCUAUGUUGGGCAAUGGUGAUGUGCCUGCUCCCCUUCUGCCUCUGCCAUGAUUGGAAGCUUCCUGAGACCUUCCCAGAAGCCUAGCAGAUGCCAGCACUAUGCUUCCUGUACAGCCUGCAGAACCAUGAGCCAAUUAAACCUCUUUUCUUUAUACAUUA
This 2852-nucleotide long non-coding RNA is filed under the name Homo sapiens (human). RNAcentral's name for it is "HSALNT0372837". Lineage: Eukaryota; Metazoa; Chordata; Mammalia; Primates; Hominidae. The record is from RNAcentral.